UGAACGGGGAGGUAGUGACGAUAAAUAACGAUGCAGAACUCUUUCCGAGGCUCUGCAAUCGGAAUGGGUACACUCUAAACACUUUAACGAGUAUCCACUGGAGGGCAAGUCUGGUGCCAGCAGCCGCGGUAAUUCCAGCUCCAGUAGCGUAUAUUAAAGUUGUUGCGGUUAAAAAGCUCGUAGUUGGAUCUGUGUUUCGAGCCGUCGGUUCGCCGCCCGUCGGCGUUUAACUGACGCGUCUUCGGAACGUCCUGCCGGUUGGCGGUCGGUCGCGCGUCUUGCCCUCGCCGUCCGCUCAGGCGGUUCGGAAUCACGGGGGUAUCAAAGGCGGACAUGCGACGCGCCAGUGUCGAUCACCCGUACCCGAUGCUCUUUAUUGAGUGUCGAGGCGGGCCGGCACGUUUACUUUGAAUCAAACUGGGUGCUCAAGGCAGGCUAACAGAUAAUUACCGCCGGAAAGAACUUGCAUGGAAUAAUGGAAUAGGACCUCGGUUCUAUUUUGUUGGUUUCCGGAACCCCGAGGUAAUGAUAAAUGGGGACUGACGGGGGCAUUAGUAUUGCGGCGUUAGAGGUGAAAUUCUUGGAUCGUCGCAAGACUACCUAAAGCGAAAGCAUUUGCCAAGGAUGUUUUCAUUAAUCAAGAACGAAAGUUAGAGGUUCGAAGGCGAUCAGAUACCGCCCUAGUUCUAACCAUAAACGAUGCCAGCCAGCGAUCCGCGGUGGUUCGUUAGAAAUGACCCCGCGGGCAGCCUCCGGGAAACCAGAGCUUUUGGGUUCCGGGGGUAGUAUGGUUGCAAAGCUGAAACUUAAAGGAAUUGACGGAAGGGCACCACCAGGAGUGGAGCUUGCGGCUUAAUUUGACUCAACACGGGAAACCUCACCAGGCCCGGACACCGAAAGGAUUGACAGAUCGAUAGCUCUUUCUUGAUUCAGUGGGUGGUGGUGCAUGGCCGUUCUUAGUUGGUGGAGCGAUUUGUCUGGUUAAUUCCGAU
RNAcentral lists this ribosomal RNA (992 nucleotides) under Liposcelis brunnea. RNAcentral describes it as "SSU rRNA". It matches the Rfam family "Eukaryotic small subunit ribosomal RNA", at positions 453 to 1329 of the family's 1831-position model. The record is from RNAcentral. Lineage: Eukaryota; Metazoa; Arthropoda; Insecta; Psocodea; Liposcelididae.